Molecule: long non-coding RNA, 1168 nt
Organism: Apis cerana (Asiatic honeybee)
Lineage: Eukaryota; Metazoa; Arthropoda; Insecta; Hymenoptera; Apidae
Source: RefSeq, a predicted model, not a curated record
UUCUAAAAUUUUAAAACAAUUUUUAAAUUUUAUGGGAAAGUGAAUUGAAUUGAUUUGGAAGACAAGAUUAUAUAUAAUAAUCCAAAUUAGAAAAAGUAAUGAUCUUAUUUCAAUGAUAAAAACUAUAUUGGGAAAGGUUAUGUCUUAAGAUCGAUCCACAGUUGUCGUUAGUACAAAGCAUUGUGUCGUGAAGAACACGUGUAUUCAUUUACUGCGCAUCUUGUCCGCGCAGUUAACCGUAGACCAUAGUCAGUGACACAGCUUGUUGAUCGUAUGGUAAAUUUUUCCAAUUAAUUCGGUAAAUAUUACGGAUAACUAGUAUAUCGUAUAACAAAGUUUUUCUGAUGAAGUUCAAAGAUAUAUUAUUUUUUUGAUGUGUAUCGUUUCUACUAAUAAUAGUACAUCAGAGGAAAAAAUAAAAUGUGACGAGUGUUUCAAGCGAAAGAGGCUAUAUCUUGUGUCAAAAUAGUGCAGAUAAACAUAUAAACAAUCUUUUUUAAUGCAAAUUUGUAUUUAAUUAUUAAAUACUAUUGAAUGUUUAGAUCUAAUUAUAUAUAUAAUAAUUACAUACAUUGUUCUUAAGUUUUUAAUUUAUUAUGUAUUUCAAGGCAUAAUUAGUUACGAGAUUCAAAGUGGAAGUGAAGUUCUAAUAAAUUUUCGAACAAAUUCUCUUCGACGAUUAUUUCGUUCAAUGAUGUAUUUCUAAUUUUUUCCUACCUGCUCGAGCAACAAAAUGUGAGUAUCCAUGUUCGACAAAGUUCACUUUUAAUUAAACAGCACGAGUGAGUAUACAUCAAUCUUAAUUUACGAGUGGGAAUAAAAUAAAUUGCGCGAGUUACAUUCGUGAUUACAAUAAUACACGGGUCAAACCAUCGAGAUACACGUAUAAUGAAAAUUUUACGAAAAUAUCGUAUUGUUCCGAACAUAUUUAUACAUUUAACGAUACUUCUGUAAAUAUAUUUUUUACGGUUGAAGAGCGAUAUUUUAUAAUUUCUGCUCAUCAAAAAAAUAUCAUCUCUGUUCGAGCGUAAUCUCGAAUGUAAUCCAAUUACAUCAUUCGAUAUCAUCGACAAAUGAUCUUUUAUUUGUUGUUUUUUUAUUAUCGUUUUAUUUAUUUAAACGUAACAUGAUUUUAAUGGUUUAAUGAAUUUAAUCUAUUCAAUUUUUC